RNA transcript from Oncorhynchus masou masou (cherry salmon), 2847 nucleotides. It is a transcript of the gene named methyl-CpG-binding domain protein 4-like, with no coding region annotated. Lineage: Eukaryota; Metazoa; Chordata; Actinopteri; Salmoniformes; Salmonidae. The record is from RefSeq and is a predicted model, not a curated record. The transcript has 9 exons.
UGAGUCAAGCGGAAUCGCUCACAAGCUCGUUCACACACUUCACAGCCCAGCGCACGAUACAAGAUGUUAUGUCUCCGACAAUUUUAUUCAACUCGAUCUUCAAAUAAUAUACCAAUAGAGAUGAACCAUUCAUCCAGAACAGCACGUGAUCACGAGCAAGGUAUAGAGCUCCAGAUGUCUUAAGAAGAUGUUAGCAGAUAAGAGGACCAGAGCAAGAUCUCAGCCUCAUGAAACCCAGCUUGUGACACCUGUCUGAGACAGACAUCCUCUAUGCUCCCGAGUGUGGACAAUAUACUAUCACUGGAUUACCAUAUGUAUCAGACUAAAACUGAGCCUACUGUUGAUACAACCUGUGCUUCCCCUACGGACAAUAACACAGUCACAACCAGGCUCAAAAACAAUGACCUCAACACAGAGAACCCCAUCACUGACACACAUUUGAAUCCUAACUCUGACACAGACACUAUGGCUGUUCCAGGUUCAGAUAUGAGAGUUACCAAAGAGGCUGAUCCCAAUGCAGUCAAAAGACAGCGGACCAGACAGGAAGAUGAGGAGUCGUGCCCGCCUUCUAGUAUGCCGCCGGGCUGGGUGAGAGUAGUGAGACGGAGGAAAAGUGGGAAGACUGCAGGCAAAAUGGACAUCUAUAUAACAAGUCCCCAGGGACAGAGGUUCCGGUCCAGGGCGUCUCUUCAAGCUUUCCUUCUCAGAGAUACAGGAGGGGAUCUACAGAUAGAUGACUUUGACUUCACCAAAGCCAAGAGUGGCAGUGUAGCUGUGACUCCGCUGCCAAGCCAGGAGAGACAGAGGAAAGUUAAUCAGAAACACACACGUCAUACCUCAGAGGCCAAUAUCAAAGAAGACCGGCAGAACACAGAGGAGUAUAUGGAAAAGGGUAGAAUAUUAAGCCUGCCUCCAAAUAACACAAAAAUAGCCAAUUCCGCAAAAUCCUGCAAGCAGAGGACCAGACCCAGAGACAAGAGAACGAUAAUAACUCAUCUGAAGCCUGACAUGCCUCACCUGGCAAGGGGCAAUCACAGAACGGCAGCUGGGAGAGGCACAGAAACGGGCCAACCAUCAGACACAAAUGAAGACAUCAAAGAGACAAACAUACAAGCCUCUGUGAGAAGGGGUGAGGAUGAUGAGACUGAGAGGCGUCUGAAGGUUGUGGCGGUAGUUGACGAUGUCAUACUGGAGAAGAGCCCCCAGAGGAGGCCGGGGCUGCUGAGAGAAAAGCUGCUCAGGCUGGCCCCGCCCACUGAUCUACAAGAUGCUCUCAUUGGUCGAGAGGAACAGCUUCCUGUGUCACUGUUACUUGUCCCAGUCCUUAGGGUGCAGUCUGCUUCUGAGAGCGAGGGGGAGGCUGAGUCUGAGGGUGUGGGAGUGGGAGUGGGGGAGACUGAGGGAGUGGAGAAUAUAGAGGCAGAGGUGCAUGACGAAGAGCUGCCAUCUCCCCAGACCACUGGAGAGCGCUGUACACCACUGAAAGAUUCCCAGAGCAAACUGUUAGGAGAGAAACGGAAGACCAGUCCUUAUUUCAGCCGGAAGUCAAUGAGAGAUGGUCUAAGCCCCCCCAGGAGGAAAGCCUUAAGGAAGUGGACCCCUCCUCGCUCCCCCUUCCACCUGGUGCAGGAGACCCUUUUCCACGACCCUUGGAAACUCCUGGUAGCCACCGUGUUCCUCAACAAAACCAGCGGUAAAAUGGCCAUCCCGGUGUUGUGGCAGUUCUUUAAGCUUUACCCAUCAGCGGAGGAGACCAGGGGGGCAGAGUGGAAGCCCCUGUCUGUGCUGCUGAGAUCUUUGGGCCUGUAUGAACUGCGAGCCAAAAUCAUCAUCAGGUUCUCUGAUGAAUACCUGACCAAGCAGUGGCGCUACCCUAUAGAGCUGCAUGGGAUUGGGAAGUAUGGCAAUGACUCCUACAGGAUCUUCUGUGUAGAGGAGUGGAGACAGGUUGAACCCCAGGACCACAUGCUGAACAAGUACCAUGCUUGGCUGUGGGAGAACCAUGAGAGGUUGGGAAUCUGAACCAUGAGGAACUGCGAUGUCACAACCUGUUUUAUCAGUGGAAGAAUGUUCUAGUUCUUAAAUCAUUAGGCUUAUAACCUGACAUAUCGGUAUCUCUCUUGGUUAACAAUUCUUACUCAACACGAUUCUAUUAAAGAAAUUGGUUUAUCAUGUUUUAAAAGCCUAAUGACUCAUUUACAUUGAAUUGGACUUUGAUGUUGUGCCUCUGGAAAAGCAACAGAUAAACUGUGUCCCUUUUGUCUAGUGGAGAUUGGUGUUCCUUUUUGCGUGUAUUGAAUCGUCUCCAUCUGUCUAGCUGUGUAGCCAUGCUCUGACAAUAGCUCGCCCAGCCCUAUUUCACAUGCUAAUUCAUUUCUUUAGGAGAGCACCAGUGCAUUUAGCUACGCCGCUAGGCUCCAGCUUUAUUCUCUGUCUGCACACGAGUAACCUGAUUCCCAGGGCAACCGUUGCCACCGCAAAACACCCAAGUGAUUGCAUUUGUUUGUACUAUUUCUAUUUGAAUCCAAGUCUUCAUAGUCAUUAAAGUAAAUAUUUGACAAGGAAGUAGUUUGCAUGUAAUUAAUUCAACUUAACUGUUAUGAAAAAUAGCUUUACUGUUUUGACAGUGUCAGUAGUAAGAAGAAAGCUUAGUGUAAAAGUUAAGACAGAGCCUUUAGAAGUUUUUCAAUGCACAAGGACCGGACUCCACUGCUGGGGAAACACAAGGCACAGCCCUGUCUACGGAAUGAAACUUCCUGCUGUUUGCUUGAAUUCCACAUCUCUGGCUAUUCCUCGAUCCACACCUGUCCGCCAAAGUCGCUACCUUAUGGUCACUCCCCUGACAUU